ACGGGAGGCAGCAGUGAGGGAUAUUGCACAAUGGGGGAAACCCUGAUGCAGCGACGCCGCGUGAGUGAAGAAGUAUUUCGGUAUGUAAAGCUCUAUCAGCAGGGAAGAAAAUGACGGUACCUGACUAAGAAGCCCUGGCUAACUACGUGCCAGCAGCCGCGGUAAUACGUAGGGGGCAAGCGUUAUCCGGAUUUACUGGGUGUAAAGGGAGCGUAGACGGUAUGGCAAGUCUGGUGUGAAAACCCGGGGCUCAACCCCGGGAUUGCAUUGGAAACUGUCAAACUAGAGUGCAGGAGAGGUAAGUGGAAUUCCUAGUGUAGCGGUGAAAUGCGUAGAUAUUAGGAGGAACACCAGUGGCGAAGGCGGCUUACUGGACGGUAACUGACGUUGAGGCUCGAAAGCGUGGGGAGCAAACAGGAUUAGAUACCCUGGUA
This 434-nucleotide ribosomal RNA is filed under the name uncultured Lachnospiraceae bacterium. RNAcentral's name for it is "bacterial SSU rRNA". It matches the Rfam family "Bacterial small subunit ribosomal RNA", at positions 341 to 792 of the family's 1533-position model. Lineage: Bacteria; Bacillati; Bacillota; Clostridia; Lachnospirales; Lachnospiraceae. The record is from RNAcentral.